Microcebus murinus (gray mouse lemur) is the source of this 1193-nucleotide non-coding RNA. The record is from RefSeq and is a predicted model, not a curated record. Lineage: Eukaryota; Metazoa; Chordata; Mammalia; Primates; Cheirogaleidae.
ACAGGUCUCCCUCGUCCAGCUCUCCCGGAAGGUGGACAGAGACCGACCACCCCAGCCCCCAGAGCCCAGGGAGACCCCGCCUGGGUUCGACGGUGAACAACCACCAAGGCCAGGCCGGUGACAGCCCUGGCGGAGAUCAUUGUUAAGGAAGCUCUUUAGGAACUGGUAGGACUUGUUCUUCCUUUUUAUUAUUAUUUUGGCAUAUUAUGGGGGUACAAAUGCCCUUGCCCCCCUCCCACCUCGAGGCAGAGCUUCAAGCGUGACCAUCCCCCGACGGUGCGCACCUCACUUCAGCGCUGGAACAAGAGUGCAGCGAGACUCUUGCUUAGGUACAAAGUCUAAGGAGGGUUACCAAAAAACUCAGUGAUCUAGGCUUCACGAGGCUCAGCAUGACACUGCAACCCCGCCACCACCCCGGAAUGUCACCACUGACAACCCAGCCAAGACAGAGGAAAGCAGAGCCAGGGGAUGUGAGCAGUGAGAUUCCUGUUGACUUGGAAACUACCGAGUGGGAUGGUGGCAAGGAUUAAAGGAAUUAACGCACGUGAAGCUCUUAAACACAGCCUGGCUCAGCGUAAGCCCCGUGCAAAUGCUGGUUGUGGUUGCUGCUAUUGUCUCUUCCGCCGGAAUUAAUCUCUGCCUUCUCUGAACAGCCAUGGCAUCCUGUCUCCAGAAAGAAGGGAGAGAGAAUUGGAGGAGACAUUAAAUCACAGGUCUCACAUCAUCUACAGAGCUUACAUCAAACUGCAGCGUCAGGUGUUGUGAUUUUUCUCACCAUGCAUGUUCCAACCAUUAAACUUGAGAUCACAUAAGUUUUAGUCGCAUGAAAUAUACCUCCCUCAUUCUUGCCCUUACUCAGCCCUGCCUCAGGUCCUGCCUUUCCACUGAAGUCACCCCAGCCACCCAGCCCUCCCUGCCUCCCUGUCCCUUGCUUUCCAGUGGCAUAUGUCAUCGGGUCCACCGUACGACACUAUCUCUCCACUUCAUCAGCCCAAACUGGCUGUGUGUCCUUGGUCAAUGGCACUUUGGAUGUGUUUCCUCAUUUGUUAACAUAAAUGGUUUAGACCGAAGGUCUCCGAGGUCCUUCCUGGCUCAAAUUUGGGCUCUAUGAUUCUCCUUUGCCAGCCUCCUCCUCCCAGUGCAGGGGGAAACAUUUCACCGUCAUUAAACUGCUUGGCACUUGUUGAUUUUUA